UCAAACACUCAGAUGUCAGGCCACAUGGAAC
RNAcentral lists this non-coding RNA (31 nucleotides) under Rattus norvegicus (Norway rat). Lineage: Eukaryota; Metazoa; Chordata; Mammalia; Rodentia; Muridae. The record is from RNAcentral.